UAGGGAAUCUUCCGCAAUGGCCGCAAGUCUGACGGAGCAACGCCGCGUGAGUGAAGAAGGAUUUCGGUUCGUAAAACUCUGUUGUUAGAGAAGAACAGCGCAUAGAGUAACUGUUAUGCGUGUGACGGUAUCUAACCAGAAAGCCACGGCUAACUACGUGCCAGCAGCCGCGGUAAUACGUAGGUGGCAAGCGUUGUCCGGAUUUAUUGGGCGUAAAGCGAGCGCAGGCGGUCAAUUAAGUCUGAUGUGAAAGCCCCCGGCUCAACCGGGGAGGGUCAUUGGAAACUGGGUUACUGGAGUGCAGAAGAGGAGAGUGGAAUUCCAUGUGUAGCGGUGAAAUGCGUAGAUAGAUGGAGGAACACCAGUGGCGAAGGCGACUCUCUGGUCUGUAACUGACGCUGAGGUUCGAAAGCGUGGGUAGCAAACAUG
This 429-nucleotide ribosomal RNA is filed under the name Bacteroidota bacterium. Its description in RNAcentral is "Bacteroidetes bacterium partial 16S ribosomal RNA". It matches the Rfam family "Bacterial small subunit ribosomal RNA", at positions 355 to 776 of the family's 1533-position model. Lineage: Bacteria; Pseudomonadati; Bacteroidota. The record is from RNAcentral.